UAACUCAAUGUUUUUCAAAACCUAUAUCAAAAUUUUGAAAAUGUUAUGUUCUGAAAAUUUGAAAACUAGACAACAGAAUUGAAAUUAUUUAAACAUUUUUAAAGAUCAUAUUCAAUACGUUUUAGAAAAUAGAUCAACAAUUUGAGACCAAAAUGUUUUAACAUUUUGCAAAAAAACUCUUCAAUCCUUUGAUAGAAGAGUUUUUAAUUAAUAUGAACAAAAUAUUGAAAUAGUGUAUUCAAAGUACCAAACUAGGAUAUUUAAAAUAUUUAACUAGCACAUUAACAAAAAAUUGAAAAAUCGGAAAAAUAAAUAUCUCGAUACCAAGAUCACAUUUUGUGGAAUUGAUUUUAAAACAUCAAUAUUCAAAUAGAUUCAAAAAGAAAUUUAGAGAUACAUUCAUUUACAUUUUCCAACCUUAACAAACCUCUCACUACCCAACCCAACUCGUCCAACGAUCUUAUUUAUCACAACUUCCCAAGGUGACAAUAGAUGCACAUGCCACA
RNAcentral lists this long non-coding RNA (506 nucleotides) under Setaria viridis. RNAcentral's name for it is "long non-coding RNA (SVIR_LNC002894)". Lineage: Eukaryota; Viridiplantae; Streptophyta; Magnoliopsida; Poales; Poaceae. The record is from RNAcentral.